CACAAGCGGUGGAUGAUGUGGUUAAUUCGAUGCAACGCGAAAACCUUACCACCUUUGACAUGUACGGAAUCCUUUAGAGAUAGAGGAGUGCUCGAAAGAGAACCGUAACACAGGUGCUGCAUGGCUGUCGUCAGCUCGUGUCGUGAGAUGUUGGGUUAAGUCCCGCAACGAGCGCAACCCUUAUCAUUAGUUGCUACGCAAGGGCACUCUAAUGAGACUGCCGGUGACAAACCGGAGGAAGUGGGGAUGACGUCAAGUCCUCAUGGCCCUUAUGGGUAGGGCUUCACACGUCAUACAAUGGUCGGUACAGAGGGUUGCCAAGCCGCGAGGUGGAGCCAAUCCCAGAAAGCCGAUCGUAGUCCGGAUUGUUCUCUGCAACUCGAGAGCAUGAAGUCGGAAUCGCUAGUAAUCGCGGAUCAGCAUGUCGCGGUGAAUACGUUCCCGGGUCUU
Molecule: ribosomal RNA, 450 nt
Filed under: uncultured Thiobacillus sp.
Lineage: Bacteria; Pseudomonadati; Pseudomonadota; Betaproteobacteria; Nitrosomonadales; Thiobacillaceae
Description: bacterial SSU rRNA
Rfam family: Bacterial small subunit ribosomal RNA
Source: RNAcentral